This is a long non-coding RNA of Gasterosteus aculeatus aculeatus (three-spined stickleback), 2074 nucleotides long. The record is from Ensembl. NCBI's taxonomy places the organism in Eukaryota, Metazoa, Chordata, Actinopteri, Perciformes, Gasterosteidae.
AAAAAAGGCCCCUGUCCAUGCAGCAGUUAGAAAGCUGUACCACCAGAUACGGUUGGUCUUCCUGAGCGCAGCAGCACAGAUUGCAGGCUGGUUAACGGCAGCUUGACAACAGCUUGACAACCAAAGAUGUCGUUGGGCUUUGGUGUGAGAGUGCUUGUUCUCUCCCUUUUGGCUUUUGGGCACGAUGCAAAUGCACUGCGUGACAAAAGUGAAGGCAUCAGUGGCAUUGGGCCUCUCUUUUCUUAUCCCAGAAGACGGAGCCCUGCUUUUGUGUCUCAAUAUGAGAGCUCUGCACAGCCUGGAGGAUUUCUGGGUACCCAGAGUGGAAAUGGGCCAGUAGAUGGUUACAGUCGAGAUGGAAGUGUUUCUAGUUACGUCCCUAGCUCACAGAUCCUUAGGAAAUCUCCAAAGAACUCUCAGCAGCCACCUCAAACUAACACUUAUGGUAAUGGUGUAUUGUGGACCAACAGUGGCAACUUGGAUUUGGUCCCUCAACAAAAAGGAUAUAGCAUUGAGUCUGGUAUUGCCUCAAGUAGUGCAAUUAUUAUGCAAUCUGAUCCUCAACCCAGUGCGUUCAAUCUGGGCUACCCACAAAAUUGGCUGAGGACCCAGGAGUCGCCCCCUUUCAAAAUUGGUUUCCCAACAAAAGCAGUUCAUGAGCAGAGCACCUCCGAUACUGUCUACCCCCAGGAGCUUCCCACAUCGACUAUGAUCUACCCACAGGAGCAGCCCACCUCAAAUCUUGUCUACCCUCAGAAGCCCCCCAGGCCCCAGGAGCUGCCCACUUCCAAUACUGGCUACCCUCAGGAGUUUCCCACAUCAAAUCUUGUCUACCCUCAGAAGCCACCCAGGCCCCGGGCACUGCCCGCCUCUAAUACUGGCUACCCUCAGAAGCCCCCCAUGCCCCAGGAGCUGCCGACUUCCAAUACUGGCUACCCUCAGAAGCCUCCCAGGCCCCAGGGGCUGCCCACUUCCAAUACUGGCUACCCUCAGGAGCUUCCCACAUCAAAUCUUGUCUACCCUCAGAAGCCACCCAGGCCCCGGGCACUGCCUGCCUCUAAUACUGGCUACCCUCAGAAGCCCCCCAUGCCCCAGGAGCUGCCCACUUCCAAUACUGGCUACCCUCAGAAGCCCCCCAUGCCCCAGGAGCUGCCAACGUCCAAUACUGGCUACCCUCAGAAGCCCCCCAGGCCCCAGGGGCUGCCCACUUCCAAUACUGGCUACCCUCAGAAGCCCCCCAUGCCCCAGGAGCUGCCAACUUCCAAUACUGGCUACCCUCAGGAGCUUCCCACAUCAAAUCUUGUCUACCCUCAGAAGCCCCCCAUGCCCCAGGAGCUGCCCACUUCCAAUACUGGCUACCCUCAGAAGCCCCCCAUGCCCCAGGAGCUGCCAACUUCCAAUACUGGCUGCCGUCGAAUGCCCCCCAGACCCCAGGGGCCACCCACCUUCAAUACUGGCUACCUUCAAACGGCGCCGAGGCCCCAGGAGCUGCCCACCUUCAAUACUGGCUACCUUCAAAAACCGCUGAUGCCCCAGCAGUUGACUACUCUCAGUUCUGUCUACCAACCACAUAAACUCAACCCCCAGAAAGGGGUGUUUCAAACUAAAGCUGGCAUGUGGGACUUGGUUUCAGGUUCUAUUUUGCCACCACCUAGGCCCCAAAAGCUUCCCACUUCCAAUACUGGCAACCUUCAAAAACCGCCGAGGCCCCAGCAGUCGAACAGUAUACCAGGUAGCGGCAUCCACUAGUGCCGUUGUAAAACAUUGACCUCGUCGUUCGCCGCAGUUCCUGACUUUCUGAAAGCAGUCUGUCCUGACAUCUGCCUUUUGUCAAAUUCAAUAAAGUACUUUGAACUGCACUGUCUACCAACAAUUGUCAUUUGAUGCAUGCAAAAAUAUGGAAACAUUUUGAAACUAAUAAAUAGAAUCUAAUGUACAGCUAUGAUUGUGUUCAAUGUAACCGGCUGAAAGUAAUGCAAUACUUGAUAGCACCACAACUGGUAUUGACUGAGAGACAUCCAAAAUUCAAGUUUUGUUCAACUCUCCAGGAGACCAAUCCCAGGGGUUUAGACAC